AGCGUACACGGUGGAUGCCCUGGCAGUCAGAGGCGAUGAAGGACGUGCUAAUCUGCGAUAAGCGUCGGUAAGGUGAUAUGAACCGUUAUAACCGGCGAUUUCCGAAUGGGGAAACCCAGUGUGUUUCGACACACUAUCAUUAACUGAAUCCAUAGGUUAAUGAGGCGAACCGGGGGAACUGAAACAUCUAAGUACCCCGAGGAAAAGAAAUCAACCGAGAUUCCCCCAGUAGCGGCGAGCGAACGGGGAGCAGCCCAGAGCCUGAAUCAGUGUGUGUGUUAGUGGAAGCGUCUGGAAAGGCGCGCGAUACAGGGUGACAGCCCCGUACACAAAAAUGCACAUGCUGUGAGCUCGAUGAGUAGGGCGGGACACGUGGUAUCCUGUCUGAAUAUGGGGGGACCAUCCUCCAAGGCUAAAUACUCCUGACUGACCGAUAGUGAACCAGUACCGUGAGGGAAAGGCGAAAAGAACCCCGGCGAGGGGAGUGAAAAAGAACCUGAAACCGUGUACGUACAAGCAGUGGGAGCACGCUUCGGCGUGUGACUGCGUACCUUUUGUAUAAUGGGUCAGCGACUUAUAUUCUGUAGCAAGGUUAACCGAAUAGGGGAGCCGAAGGGAAACCGAGUCUUAACUGGGCGUUAAGUUGCAGGGUAUAGACCCGAAACCCGGUGAUCUAGCCAUGGGCAGGUUGAAGGUUGGGUAACACUAACUGGAGGACCGAACCGACUAAUGUUGAAAAAUUAGCGGAUGACUUGUGGCUGGGGGUGAAAGGCCAAUCAAACCGGGAGAUAGCUGGUUCUCCCCGAAAGCUAUUUAGGUAGCGCCUCGUGAAUUCAUCUCCGGGGGUAGAGCACUGUUUCGGCAAGGGGGUCAUCCCGACUUACCAACCCGAUGCAAACUGCGAAUACCGGAGAAUGUUAUCACGGGAGACACACGGCGGGUGCUAACGUCCGUCGUGAAGAGGGAAACAACCCAGACCGCCAGCUAAGGUCCCAAAGUCAUGGUUAAGUGGGAAACGAUGUGGGAAGGCCCAGACAGCCAGGAUGUUGGCUUAGAAGCAGCCAUCAUUUAAAGAAAGCGUAAUAGCUCACUGGUCGAGUCGGCCUGCGCGGAAGAUGUAACGGGGCUAAACCAUGCACCGAAGCUGCGGCAGCGACGCUUAUGCGUUGUUGGGUAGGGGAGCGUUCUGUAAGCCUGUGAAGGUGUACUGUGAGGUAUGCUGGAGGUAUCAGAAGUGCGAAUGCUGACAUAAGUAACGAUAAAGCGGGUGAAAAGCCCGCUCGCCGGAAGACCAAGGGUUCCUGUCCAACGUUAAUCGGGGCAGGGUGAGUCGACCCCUAAGGCGAGGCCGAAAGGCGUAGUCGAUGGGAAACAGGUUAAUAUUCCUGUACUUGGUGUUACUGCGAAGGGGGGACGGAGAAGGCUAUGUUGGCCGGGCGACGGUUGUCCCGGUUUAAGCGUGUAGGCUGGUUUUCCAGGCAAAUCCGGAAAAUCAAGGCUGAGGCGUGAUGACGAGGCACUACGGUGCUGAAGCAACAAAUGCCCUGCUUCCAGGAAAAGCCUCUAAGCAUCAGGUAACAUCAAAUCGUACCCCAAACCGACACAGGUGGUCAGGUAGAGAAUACCAAGGCGCUUGAGAGAACUCGGGUGAAGGAACUAGGCAAAAUGGUGCCGUAACUUCGGGAGAAGGCACGCUGAUAUGUAGGUGAAGUCCCUUGCGGAUGGAGCUGAAAUCAGUCGAAGAUACCAGCUGGCUGCAACUGUUUAUUAAAAACACAGCACUGUGCAAACACGAAAGUGGACGUAUACGGUGUGACGCCUGCCCGGUGCCGGAAGGUUAAUUGAUGGGGUUAGCGGUAACGCGAAGCUCUUGAUCGAAGCCCCGGUAAACGGCGGCCGUAACUAUAACGGUCCUAAGGUAGCGAAAUUCCUUGUCGGGUAAGUUCCGACCUGCACGAAUGGCGUAAUGAUGGCCAGGCUGUCUCCACCCGAGACUCAGUGAAAUUGAACUCGCUGUGAAGAUGCAGUGUACCCGCGGCAAGACGGAAAGACCCCGUGAACCUUUACUAUAGCUUGACACUGAACAUUGAGCCUUGAUGUGUAGGAUAGGUGGGAGGCUUUGAAGUGUGGACGCCAGUCUGCAUGGAGCCGACCUUGAAAUACCACCCUUUAAUGUUUGAUGUUCUAACGUUGACCCGUAAUCCGGGUUGCGGACAGUGUCUGGUGGGUAGUUUGACUGGGGCGGUCUCCUCCUAAAGAGUAACGGAGGAGCACGAAGGUUGGCUAAUCCUGGUCGGACAUCAGGAGGUUAGUGCAAUGGCAUAAGCCAGCUUGACUGCGAGCGUGACGGCGCGAGCAGGUGCGAAAGCAGGUCAUAGUGAUCCGGUGGUUCUGAAUGGAAGGGCCAUCGCUCAACGGAUAAAAGGUACUCCGGGGAUAACAGGCUGAUACCGCCCAAGAGUUCAUAUCGACGGCGGUGUUUGGCACCUCGAUGUCGGCUCAUCACAUCCUGGGGCUGAAGUAGGUCCCAAGGGUAUGGCUGUUCGCCAUUUAAAGUGGUACGCGAGCUGGGUUUAGAACGUCGUGAGACAGUUCGGUCCCUAUCUGCCGUGGGCGCUGGAGAACUGAGGGGGGCUGCUCCUAGUACGAGAGGACCGGAGUGGACGCAUCACUGGUGUUCGGGUUGUCAUGCCAAUGGCACUGCCCGGUAGCUAAAUGCGGAAGAGAUAAGUGCUGAAAGCAUCUAAGCACGAAACUUGCCCCGAGAUGAGUUCUCCCUGACUCCUUGA
This 2789-nucleotide ribosomal RNA is filed under the name Escherichia coli. RNAcentral describes it as "bacterial LSU rRNA". It matches the Rfam family "Bacterial large subunit ribosomal RNA". The record is from RNAcentral. Lineage: Bacteria; Pseudomonadati; Pseudomonadota; Gammaproteobacteria; Enterobacterales; Enterobacteriaceae.